This is a long non-coding RNA of Solea senegalensis (Senegalese sole), 633 nucleotides long. RefSeq lists it as uncharacterized. NCBI's taxonomy places the organism in Eukaryota, Metazoa, Chordata, Actinopteri, Pleuronectiformes, Soleidae. The record is from RefSeq and is a predicted model, not a curated record. The transcript has 2 exons.
CUCAUUAAUACAUCGAUAGUAAUAUUUAAAAAAAAAAAAUAACAAUCAUUUAUUCACAUGAAAGUUGUCACAUUUUACAGUUCCCUGACAGUGGUGCUUCGCUGUGGAUGUCCCCACCUGAUGUACUGCGUUAUUCUGUCCUCCCCUUUUUAGCCCAAAGUGACCUGGUACAAAAACAAGAUGGACAUCACGAACGAACCCAAGUACCGGAUGCUCAGCAAGCACGGCGUCCUGACGCUGGAGAUCCGUAAGCCCUGUCCGUUCGACGGGGGCGUGUACACGUGCAAGGCGGUCAACGACAGCGGAGAAGACACGGUGGAGUGUAAGCUGGAGGUCCGCUCUCAAGUCUUUAAAGAGGAAAAGAAAAAUGAAAAGUAAGAGGCUCCGGGCGCUGAACCGAAGAGCGGGUCCAGCCGUCUGUGAAUCGUCCCGAAUGUCCCUCUUCACUCUUCACCUGCAUCUUCAUCAUCUUUUUUUCUGUGCGUGUUAGCAACUCUUCCCUCUUCCACCAUCAGCCUGUGUCGAGUCACUCUCACCGCUGUGCUGAUGUCGUCAAUAUCAUAUCAUGAAGUCGUGGUUUAACCCACUGGAAAGUUUUAGUCCAAGAAACAAGACGCUUAUUUCUCAUUCAUU